RNAcentral lists this ribosomal RNA (861 nucleotides) under uncultured Clostridia bacterium. Its description in RNAcentral is "bacterial SSU rRNA". It matches the Rfam family "Bacterial small subunit ribosomal RNA", at positions 28 to 896 of the family's 1533-position model. Lineage: Bacteria; Bacillati; Bacillota; Clostridia. The record is from RNAcentral.
GACGAACGCUGGCGGCGCGCUUAACACAUGCAAGUCGAGCGAUGAAAUCUUGACAGAACCCUUCGGGGCGAAGAUAAGAUGGAUUAGCGGCGGACGGGUGAGUAACACGUGAGUAACCUGCCUUAGACAUUGGGAUAGCCUCGGGAAACCGGGAUUAAUACCAAAUGAAAUCACAUAUGCACAUGUAUAAAUGAUCAAAGCUCCGGCGGUCUAAGAUGGACUCGCGUCCCAUUAGCUAGUUGGUGAGGUAACGGCCCACCAAGGCGACGAUGGGUAGCCGGCCUGAGAGGGUGAACGGCCACAUUGGAACUGAGAAACGGUCCAAACUCCUACGGGAGGCAGCAGUGGGGAAUAUUGCACAAUGGAGGGAACUCUGAUGCAGCGACGCCGCGUGAACGAAGAAGGCUUUCGAGUCGUAAAGUUCUUUUAUGUGGGAAGAUAAUGACGGUACCAUAAGAAAAAGCCCCGGCUAACUACGUGCCAGCAGCCGCGGUAAUACGUAGGGGGCUAGCGUUGUCCGGAAUCACUGGGCGUAAAGGGUUCGCAGGCGGAAAUGCAAGUCAGGUGUAAAAGGCAGUAGCUUAACUACUGUAAGCAUUUGAAACUGCAUAUCUUGAGAAGAGUAGAGGUAAGUGGAAUUUUUAGUGUAGCGGUGAAAUGCGUAGAUAUUAAAAAGAAUACCGGUGGCGAAGGCGACUUACUGGGCUCAUUCUGACGCUGAGGAACGAAAGCGUGGGUAGCAAACAGGAUUAGAUACCCUGGUAGUCCACGCUGUAAACGAUGAGUGCUAGGUAUCGGAAAAAUUCGGUGCCGCAGUUAACACAUUAAGCACUCCGCCUGGGGAGUACGUGCGCAAGCAUG